This is a non-coding RNA of Paramisgurnus dabryanus, 959 nucleotides long. Lineage: Eukaryota; Metazoa; Chordata; Actinopteri; Cypriniformes; Cobitidae. The record is from RefSeq and is a predicted model, not a curated record.
AUUUUGAGACGAUAGCAGCCCUGUCCAACAAUGGAUAUGAGUGUGCAAUAUACCAUCUAAAGCUAAGUGUUUUAAGAACUUGCUUCAGUCACUGUACUACUGCACAUUGUAACUACUUUUGGAGGAAUGUUUUAUUCUAAUUCUGAUUCUGAUGUUUUUCAGGAACUGCCAGGUCAGAAUGUCUGAGAAGAUCAAGUGUGCUACAACACCGAUAAUGACAAGCAGGAUACAUUGGAAAGCUGGAUUUCUUUUAAUAAUGUGACCAAACCCAUUUGGCAUUGAGGACAAUACUGAAGACUAAAGAAACAAAGGAAGGAGCAGUCUCAGAAGAAAGAGUGGCUGAAGGACGAAGGAGUAAUGUGGCAGCUUGAGGGAGGACACUAGGAAGUAAAGGUGGCGGCAGCAGCAUACAGGAUGCAGUGAGGAUUAGUGUGGCAACUCCAGGGAGGACACAAGACAGUGAGAGCAACAGCGGCAUUGCAGGAAGAAUUUUGAGACAAUAGCAGUCCUGUCCAACAAUGGAUAUGAGUAUGCAAUAUACCAUCUAAAGCUAAGUGUUUUAAGAACUUGCUUCAGUCACUGUACUACUGCACAUCGUAACUACUUUUGAAUGAAUAUUUUAAGCUAAUUCUGAUUUUGAUGUUUUUCAGGAAGCGCCAGGUCAGAAUGUCUGAGAAGAUCAAGUGUGCUACAACACCGAUAAGGACAAGCUGGAUACAUUGGAAAGCUGGAUUUCUUUUAAUAAUGUGACCAAACCCAUUUGGCAUGUAGGACAAUACUGAAGACUAAAGAAGCAAAUGAAGAACCACAUUGAAGCAGUAGAGGGUGUCCAGCCUGUAUGCAAUGUCAGAUCCAGCGGCUAGAUGUCGGGAGCUGCUUCACUACACAGCUCAUUGCAUUAAUUAAUUUCAUUUAUUUAAAAUUUAGUUUUAUCAUAUUAAAUAAUUGGUUUCUAUAUA